RNAcentral lists this small nuclear RNA (115 nucleotides) under Neogale vison (American mink). RNAcentral's name for it is "Neovison vison (American mink) U4 spliceosomal RNA (ENSNVIG00000003677.1)". It matches the Rfam family "U4 spliceosomal RNA". Rfam says of the family: U4 small nuclear RNA (U4 snRNA) is a component of the major U2-dependent spliceosome. The structure of U4 snRNA from yeast and human has been reported. The record is from Rfam by way of RNAcentral. Lineage: Eukaryota; Metazoa; Chordata; Mammalia; Carnivora; Mustelidae.
AGCUUUGCGCAGUGGCAGUAUCGUAGCCAAUGAGGUUUAUCCGAGGCGCGAUUAUUGCUAAUUGAAUUAAGGUCCACCCUAAUGCCUCAUUUUAAUUUAAUUAUCUCUUUAAAGG